This 540-nucleotide ribosomal RNA is filed under the name uncultured archaeon. RNAcentral's name for it is "bacterial SSU rRNA". It matches the Rfam family "Archaeal small subunit ribosomal RNA", at positions 327 to 867 of the family's 1478-position model. The record is from RNAcentral.
CGGGUGCAGCAGGCGCGAAAACUUUACAAUGCUGGCAACAGCGAUAAGGGGACCUCGAGUGCCAGGAUACAAUCCUGGCUGUCGUAAUGCCUAAAAAGCAUUGCAUAGCAAGGGCCGGGCAAGACCGGUGCCAGCCGCCGCGGUAACACCGGCGGCUCGAGUGGUAACCGCUAUUAUUGGGUCUAAAGGGUCUGUAGCCGGCUGACUAAGUCUCUUGGGAAAUCUGGCAGCUCAACUGUCAGGCUUUCAGGAGAUACUGAUCGGCUCGAGACCGGGAGAGGUGAGAGGUACCUCAGGGGUAGGGGUGAAAUCUUGUAAUCCUUGAGGGACCACCAGUGGCGAAGGCGUCUCACCAGAACGGAUCUGACGGCAAGGGACGAAAGCUAGGGGCACGAACCGGAUUAGAUACCCGGGUAGUCCUAGCCGUAAACGAUACUCGCUAGGUGUCGGCCACGGUGCGACCGUGGUCGGUGCCGUAGGGAAGCCGUGAAGCGAGCCACCUGGGAAGUACGGCCGCAAGGCUGAAACUUAAAGGAAUGG